AAGAUUUUCCCGUUUCAAGUUCGCAAAAACUGUUUUCUGUUCGUGGGGUUAGCCUACUCCUAUGCAUCCUCCAUUCCAAGUUCAAUCCCUGCGGUUUUCGGCGGCGACUCGCUUGCGUUAGCUGGCUUGCGGCGUCGUGGUCGGCGGCUUAGUGAGUGGGCAGCGGGAAUGAUGGCGUGGUGGUCGACGGAUAGGCUGGGCGUCCCUGAGGGUGGGCGGUUGACCACGGGUGCGCGACGGCCUGGUGCUUGGCGGCCACGGCGGCGUGGUGAGCGCGUCGUGGCCUAGAUGUUGGGAAGCAUGGUUUGUGGUGGUCGGCUGGCUGCAGCGGCAGUUCAGGUGGUGCUGGCGGCGGCACUAUGAGCAGUGCUCGCGGCGGCACUGGAUCGACCGUGACCGCUUCGUUCCAUCCUCCGGCCGGCUGCCACGGUUGCUUGAUCCAGUACGUGUUGGUGAGUUCAGUACAGAUCUCUUCAACGCCUCCUCUAUGGAUGGGGUUGAUGCCCUGUAUUUCUUUUGCCCCAAAUCCCUAAUUGGAUAUAGAUCUCUAUUUAAACACGGAGUCUGAAGUCCCACUCUAAUCAUUGUUAUGUAGUCUCUUCUCUGUUUGAAAGUGACAAUCUUCUGGCAAUUGGUUGCCUCUGACUUGUUGUUACAAAUCGUGUAUUGUUUUGUUCAUAGCCUGAUGCAUUUUGCACUAUGAUUGGAAUGUGAAAUAUCUGACGGCAUUGAACAGUUGGUAUCUUUUUCACUUGCCGUCUUAGACAUAGACCGUUCUGUUUUGGGCAAGUUGCUCAGAGCAGAUAGUUGUUUGAUUAAUUUUCUGACUAAUUAAUACCAAUGGGAUUAUGGGAUGUGGAGGUGUCUUAUGUACCUGUCCAAGAGCUCGCCUCGGCAUCCUCACGAAGUCGAGAUCCUGACUAAGAGAGCUCUCCCCAAUGUGUGCAGUUACUGCUCAACAUGUAAAGAAGCUAAUUGUUGUUAAUACAAUCAAUAUUUUUGCUGAUUAGUUUUUGGAGGGCAAAUCAUUGCGGCGCUGAGCAGAUGUCCAAUUUGAUUUGUUGAAGUGGAUCAUGGUUCCUCCUUUACUGAUGAAUGUUGCAUGAGACAUUCCCACCAGGCUUCAAUGGAGGGGAAGGUAGCCGCUAGACUUGGACUCAAAUGGACACCCUGCCAGGAGAGCACCAUGGAGAAGACGGACGAGGUGAAGAGGCAGUCCUUGCAGAGAUGGGUGGCGGUUUCCGGGACCUGAAGCACCCACAUAUCUGUGUUUUGAUUUCUUGUUUGAAACUACUGGGCGUCCAUAUCACUAUCACUUCACCAUCCAGUGAAGAAUGGAUCCAUCAACUCUAAUAUGAUUAAUGUCAUCUUCCUUGGGGCUUUUUUUACCACUGCCAUAGACAAGUGUUUAUUUAGUUCAUGGUCAUUUCUAUUUAGUUCGUGGCUGAUGGGAGCAUGAGGAGUACCUUUCAAACUACUGUUCCUCUUUUCAUCUUAUAGUUUUUGUUGCUUACA
Molecule: long non-coding RNA, 1515 nt
Organism: Triticum aestivum (bread wheat)
Lineage: Eukaryota; Viridiplantae; Streptophyta; Magnoliopsida; Poales; Poaceae
Exons: 2
Source: RefSeq, a predicted model, not a curated record